CUGCACGCGGACAAAAGGCGUUCACGUUAGCGUCUCCACUCCGUCAGGGCGCGCGGAGGUGAUCGUCGGCAGCGCGAGAUCCGCCGAGCCCGGGAGGAGCCACCACAGGCCGGAGCUCAGCGCAGUUUACCGGGACUCUUACCGCCGCCCGGCCUCCAGCACACCGCCAGCGGCCGGAUUUUACCUCGGCACAGCCCGCUACAUCCCGGCUCACAGCCCGGUACGGCUCGGCUGUCUUCAUCCAGCCGAGCUGCUCCGAUAUUUCCGCAUUUCGGUGCCAGAUGCUCCGAGUGGUUUGCAGAUUAAAGAUGGACGUGUUUGACCUUUCCUGGCCGUCUCGCUGCCAGCCCUCGAUUCCUCUCAGCUGAGUGAGCGGAGAACUGGAGCAUGAAGACAUCGAUAGCUCAGAGCAUGGCUGCAUGGACGUACAGUAGAGGAAGAGGAGGGGGAGUAAGAGCAGACUAAUGCGUAAACGAGGAGGAGGCAGCUGGUGAAGGGAAACAAAAGAUGCUGUUUCAUCUAGAUUUUCACUUUACAGUUAUUAUUUUUCUGUGACAUCUGACAAAGUUUGUGCAGAUAUGGAAUAAAAACCAUCUGAGACACAAUGUGUCGGACACGAGACCUCGCAGCGUCACAUAGCUACGCGCUCAGCGUGUUUGCUUCCGUUCUCUGACGGUUUUCCAUUAAGUUACAGAGCUGAGUAUGUUCUGAUAUGUUUCUCUCUGCUGUCCAUUAAUCACAUCUGCCUGCAUUCACAGAGGCGCUCAUCACCUGCUGUUUUCAGCUGCAGAUGUCUUUUCUGAUAGUUUCACUGAUUGUUGGAGCUUCAGAAGAUAAACGCUGCAUGCUGAUUCCCUGCAGCUCUGUUUUCUGGCUCAUCUUCUGUGAACUGCAUUAGUGAAAGUGACUCAUAAGCACAGUACAGUCAGUCUCGGGCUCGGAUCACCCCGGUAUCCUUCAUUGAUACGGCUCUGUCGAUAACAAAGCCGUCAAGGUCAGGACACGUAAGCAGCACUCUGGCUUCUCUGCACUCUCUGCAGAUUUCAGAUCCAGACUCUGAGUUUAAUGGAGAGCUGCUCAGAUCAUUUCCAGCUCUGUGUUCGUAUCCUGGGCCUCCAGGAACAGCUUUGCAUCACUGACACUUUAAAAACUUCCUUUGAUGCCAAGUCUUCUCUGUUUUCUGUAUAAAUGAAUGAAGGUAACUGUCGGUCCACGAUUCACUGAUGAUGGCAGACACCUCAGCACUCAAACAUCGUCUUUGGGGCAAAGAGCUGCACGUUUGGUACGGAGCCCACAGGAAGCUGCAGCUGAAGUGGUGCAAAGUUCCAACUAGUUUGCAGUGAAUUAAGUUACGUAAACUGGAACAAUGGAGCAAACGUGGAGCUGCCUCCUGGUAAUCCAGCCUCAGAGGGAGUGCUGUAUUUCUCGAAGCCCAUUUUUAACUGUGCAUUAGCCCACUUGUGGUGCUCCGCUAACACUCUGCGUGUGGGAAUUUGAAGGAUAAGGAUACGGGCGUCAGUAGUUUUUGGUGCUGAUAAUGGUUUUUAUCUUUGCUCUUGUGAGGUUUGCUGCUGUAAUCACAGUUCACUCGUUUCUUAUCCAUUAAACAAAUGAACAAACAGCGAGUUGACUUUACACCUGGAUUUUCAUUCAUUAAUUCAAAUGGACUCUGUGGCUCACAGCCAAACAGCCGAGGCCUUAUCCACACCGCUCAGACUCUGAGCUGACUUAUCCUCCGUGUGUUUGCUUCUCUUAUCUUAAACACACUUGUUCAUCCAGCUUAAAUCUGUCCUGUAAGUCAUCCAGCAGCCGUGACACCAAACUGGAUUAUGUGUGAGGCUUUAAAGACCCACGCAGAGAGGUCGGGGAACACCAGCGAGCGCUGACGCAGCAGGUCGUUGGUGCAGUGCACGAGAGGAGGUGAGGGAACCGAUUGGACUUUCCCCGUCGCGGCUCACAUGCAGACACUUUGAACUUUGGCACCGUGUUUGUUCAGCAUGUGUCACUUCAGAUAGGCUGCACGGUGUCUUUAUCAUGUGUCUUCAGUUAUCUAACAUGUGUCCUGGACUGUGGACGGUGACCACGAUGUAAAACUACUACAGCUGUGUUUUUUGAUUAAUAAGCACUCGUUUUGAUCCGUUCGGUAAUAAAAGUUAUUGCUGAAUGGGAACUAAUGGUUGAGAGAAUCAUCAGUCAUAAAUCAGAGGUUCAGGAACUGUCACCACUGUGAUAAAGGGUCCGUGUUUCAUUUCCAGCCCCACGUUUUUGUUCAUGAACCCCAUGAAGGUAGCUUUGCAUGAUUCACAGUUGGAAAUAAGCCUUUUUCCUCUCAUGCUGGGCCAUGUUGCAGUUCCCUGUUAUCCAACUUUCUUCUAACAGACUUUUCUUUGUAAACUUGAGAUUUGAACAUCAGGUGGGCGGAGCUUGUGAGUGAUCCCCUCUCUGAGGUCACAC
This 2454-nucleotide long non-coding RNA is filed under the name Oreochromis niloticus (Nile tilapia). RNAcentral's name for it is "lncRNA (ENSONIG00000036712.1)". The record is from RNAcentral. Lineage: Eukaryota; Metazoa; Chordata; Actinopteri; Cichliformes; Cichlidae.